Molecule: long non-coding RNA, 468 nt
Filed under: Setaria italica (foxtail millet)
Lineage: Eukaryota; Viridiplantae; Streptophyta; Magnoliopsida; Poales; Poaceae
Description: long non-coding RNA (SITA_LNC007311)
Source: RNAcentral
GCCUCGACCUCGUCCUCCUCCCCACGUUUUCUCCCCACGAUCCCGUCCUCUUUGUUUAUGUUUAUGGAUGGAGCCCGGUGCGCUCACCGCUGGGGCCUCGGCGCCUCGCUCACCUGCGGAGGGCGUGGCUGCGCUGCGCGGAUACGGCUCGUGACUGCCGCCUGGAAUGGACCGUACCGGACGGGAUCCGGUAAGAAGGAAAGAAACGGAGGGCAUCGGCGGCGGGGCGCAGCCGCCCUGGCCGGUCGGUGCGGGAGCGGCCUAAUUCUGGUUCGCGCGACUACGGAAGAGGAUGAUUGUUAGUUCCUGGUACGCGCUAACUAUAGGUGGCCCGAUCAAAUAGUGCGGGUAGCUAGUUUUUAUUUUUAAUGUUAAUAUUUGUAUUUGUAUUAUUUCCUGGUCGUUUUUUAAUUUUAGUUGCAUUUUAGGAUGUGUUGUAUAACAUUUUUCAUUUAAAUUUAAAUUGAC